UGGAUUAAUAUUACGGCAAUAUUCGGGUGCUUAUUACCACAGAGCUGUAAACGGAAAGCGAGGCUGUCCGUUUUUCUCACUGUCUCCGCGGGGCGACGUAAAACACUGCGGCUGCGCAGUAAGAAGAAGCUGUGAGCGCAACUGUGGGCGCGGGUGAUGUAGUUAAAUCUUAAAGAAAAGCGUAGCUUGGGUGGGCCGCUCCUGCUCUGAACACGAUGAGGCUGACCCAAGCACACUUGCAAUGGAGCAUGUCCCACCAAGUUUAGUAAGACUUCAUUACGAGUUAACAUGCUUUAAAAACCUGGAAUCCCAUUCACGCUUAUGUGGGAGCGACUCCAAUUGAAGUCAGAGGUCCUUACUUGUGAGCAGAAAUGCUGUAUGAUUUGAGAUGCAGGACUGUGUAAAGUUGGGCAAGUGUUCGCCUAAACCCAUUGAAGUCAAUACAUAGCACUGAGCUAUGUGGCCGCGUUUACAUAUACAAGACCAUUUCGCUCUCCAUCUCCUCCCUCGGCGCCUCCUAAUACCCACAGAAAAUGAGGGAAGAGUGAUGCUGUGCAGAAGCCCAUUAUGAGGCACAUGACUUUCGUCCACCAGUCAGAGGAGCAGAAGACUUCCCCUGCUACCCCCCCAAGUAACGCCCAAAAAAUAUGUGCUUUUGUACACAUUACUUGGCUGGAGAACUGCUUACAAAAUUCAGAGGAGUGCAAAUUUCAUAGGAUGGCUGCGUUUCAGUUUGCAUAUUGUUUAACAAAGUGCAAAUUAGCACCGUAAUCGUAUGGCAUACACCUUUCCUGCUUGGAACCAGUACUCUUUCAGUAGAUGGCAGUCAAAGACCAUCAUAAGAGAUUCACACAGCUCAGCGGGGUGGUGAUCAUUUAGCAAAACAUGCAGCUUAUUAAUGAGAACAUCUUUCCACUGCUGUAGCCU
This is a long non-coding RNA of Rhineura floridana, 927 nucleotides long. RefSeq lists it as uncharacterized. The record is from RefSeq and is a predicted model, not a curated record. The transcript has 4 exons. NCBI's taxonomy places the organism in Eukaryota, Metazoa, Chordata, Lepidosauria, Squamata, Rhineuridae.